UCCAUACUUAAUCCAUCAACAGUAGAGCCAACAAAUUCCAUGGAUUUGUAUGUCGCACCAGAAACAGUAAUUUCACCGAUUAUUUGCAAAAUCAAAUCCUUAGCAAGCAGGUAACUGGGCAAUUCUCCAUCCAAAAUGAACCUCAAGGUAGGGGGUACCUUGAGUAGAAGCUUUCCAGUCCCGAGGACAAAUCCUGCAUCAGUAUUACCAAUUCCAGUAGCAAAUUGACCAAAAGCUCCAGCAGUACAUGUGUGG
This 255-nucleotide unclassified non-coding RNA is filed under the name Hevea brasiliensis (rubber tree). Lineage: Eukaryota; Viridiplantae; Streptophyta; Magnoliopsida; Malpighiales; Euphorbiaceae. The record is from RNAcentral.